AGCGGCGGACGGGUGAGUAACACGUAGGUAACCUACCUAUAAGACUGGGAUAACUUCGGGAAACCGGAGCUAAUACCGGAUAAUAUUUCGAACCGCAUGGUUCGAUAGUGAAAGAUGGCUUUGCUAUCACUUAUAGAUGGACCUGCGCCGUAUUAGCUAGUUGGUAAGGUAACGGCUUACCAAGGCAACGAUACGUAGCCGACCUGAGAGGGUGAUCGGCCACACUGGAACUGAGACACGGUCCAGACUCCUACGGGAGGCAGCAGUAGGGAAUCUUCCGCAAUGGGCGAAAGCCUGACGGAGCAACGCCGCGUGAGUGAUGAAGGUCUUCGGAUCGUAAAACUCUGUUAUUAGGGAAGAACAAACGUGUAAGUAACUGUGCACGUCUUGACGGUACCUAAUCAGAAAGCCACGGCUAACUACGUGCCA
Molecule: ribosomal RNA, 429 nt
Filed under: Staphylococcus sp. ST1-8
Lineage: Bacteria; Bacillati; Bacillota; Bacilli; Caryophanales; Staphylococcaceae
Description: bacterial SSU rRNA
Rfam family: Bacterial small subunit ribosomal RNA
Source: RNAcentral